AGUCUAACCCUCUCUGCCCCUCAUCCCCCAGUCUAACCCUCUCUGCCCCUCAUCCCCCAGUCUAACCCUCUCUGCCCCUCAUCCCCCAGUCUAACCCUCUCUGCCCUCAUCCCCCAGUCUAACCCUCUCUGCCCCUCAUCCCCCAGUCUAACCCUCUCUGCCCCUCAUCCCCCAGUCUAACCCUCUCUGCCCCUCAUCCCCCAGUCUAACCCUCUCUGCCCCUCAUCCCCCAGUCUAACCCUCUCUGCCCCUCAUCCCCCAGUCUAACCCUCUCUGCCCCUCAUCCCCCAGUCUAACCCUCUCUGCCCCUCAUCCCCCAGUCUAACCCUCUCUGCCCCUCAUCCCCCAGUCUAACCCUCUCUGCCCCUCAUCCCCAAGUCUAACCCUCUCUGCCCCUCAUCCCCCAGUCUAACCCUCUCUGCCCCUCAUCCCCCAGUCUAACCCUCUCUGCCCCUCAUCCCCCAGUCGAACCCUCUCUGCCCCUCAUCCCCCAGUCUAACCCUCUCUGCCCCUCAUCCCCCCAGUCUAACCCUCUCUGCACGGGACCUAACAUGCUUUACCAACUGGACCUGACUGGAUUAAACCAGACCUAACUCGACCUAACCGGAUUAAACUUGGUCAAACGGACAUGGUUGAUUGUAUUCUCAGACCCUCGUGCCUGUCUUGUCGACAGACCCACAAUGCUUUGCAAACCCAGCUCCUGUGGCGUCUUGGAGGACCUCAGGGAGACCACUUUCCCAGCCAACAAGAUGACACUAAGUGGAAGUGGACUUCUGGAUGGACAGAGAGAGAGAAUGAAAGAGAGAGAGAAGGUAUAGUCUCUCUCUCUCAGGAGGAGUGAUGAUGGAUGGACAGAGAGAGAGAAUGAAAGAGAGAGAGAAGGUAUAGUCUAUCUCUCUCAGGAGGAGUGAUGAUGGAUGGACAGAGAGAGAGAAUGAAAGGGAGAGAGAAGGUAUAGUCUCUCUCUCUCAGGAGGAGUGAUGAUGGAUGGACAGAGAGAGAGAAUGAAAGAGAGAGAGAAGGUAUAGUCUAUCUCUCUCAGGAGGAGUGAUGAGCUGUGAUGUCUUCUCUGCACUGACAGACAGAUGGAUGUGAAUGUGUGCAUAGAUACACACACAGGCUACUGUAGGUAUUUAUUAGACUGAUAUACAGUAUAUGAACAACUAUAUACUAAUAAAUGAUGGUGUUUGUUGCAUUUUAA
This is a long non-coding RNA of Oncorhynchus keta (chum salmon), 1201 nucleotides long. RefSeq lists it as uncharacterized. The record is from RefSeq and is a predicted model, not a curated record. NCBI's taxonomy places the organism in Eukaryota, Metazoa, Chordata, Actinopteri, Salmoniformes, Salmonidae. The transcript has 2 exons.